This 1377-nucleotide ribosomal RNA is filed under the name uncultured bacterium. Its description in RNAcentral is "16S ribosomal RNA". It matches the Rfam family "Bacterial small subunit ribosomal RNA". The record is from RNAcentral.
UUAGAGUUUGAUCCUGGCUCAGGACCCUUUCUGGCGGCGCGCCUAACACAUGCAAGUCGAACGGAACUUGAGAGAGCUUGCUUUUUCAAGUUUAGUGGCUCACGGGUGAGUAACGCGUGAGUAACCUGCCCUGGAGUGGGGGACAACAGUUGGAAACGACUGCUAAUACCGCAUAAGCCCACGGUACCGCAUGGUACUGAGGGAAAAGGAUUUAUUCGCUUUAGGAUGGACUCGCGUCCAAUUAGCUAGUUGGUGAGGUAACGGCCCACCAAGGCGACGAUUGGUAGCCGGACUGAGAGGUUGAACGGCCACAUUGGGACUGAGACACGGCCCAGACUCCUACGGGAGGCAGCAGUGGAGGAUAUUGCACAAUGGGGGAAACCCUGAUGCAGCGACGCCGCGUGGAGGAAGAAGGUUUUCGGAUUGUAAACUCCUGUCGUUAGGGACGAUAAUGACGGUACCUAACAAGAAAGCACCGGCUAACUACGUGCCAGCAGCCGCGGUAAAACGUAGGGUGCAAGCGUUGUCCGGAAUUACUGGGUGUAAAGGGAGCGCAGGCGGACCGGCAAGUUGGAAGUGAAAUCUAUGGGCUCAACCCAUAAAUUGCUUUCAAAACUGUUUUUCUUGAGUAGUGCAGAGGUAGGCGGAAUUCCCGGUGUAGCGGUGGAAUGCGUAGAUAUCGGGAGGAACACCAGUGGCGAAGGCGGCCUACUGGGCACCAACUGACGCUGAGGCUCGAAAGUGUGGGUAGCAAACAGGAUUAGAUACCCUGGUAGUCCACACCGUAAACGAUGAAUUUCUAGGGUGUGGGAGGAUUGACCCCUUCAGUGCCGCAGUUAACACAAUAAGUAAUCCACCGGGGGAGUACGACCGCAAGGUUGAAACUCAAAGGAAUUGACGGGGGCCCGCACAAGCAGUGGAGUAUGUGGUUUAAUUCGACGCAACGCGAAGAACCUUACCAAGUCUUGACAUCCUGCGACGAAUGCUGGAAACAGUAUUUUCCUUCGGGACGCAGAGACAGGUGGUGCAUGGUUGUCGUCAGCUCGUGUCGUGAGAUGUUGGGUUAAGUCCCGCAACGAGCGCAACCCUUACUGUCAGUUACUACGCAAGAGGACUCUGGCAGGACUGCCGUUGACAAAACGGAGGAAGGUGGGGAUGACGUCAAAUCAUCAUGCCCUUUAUGACUUGGGCUACACACGUACUACAAUGGCGUUAAACAAAGAGAAGCAAGACCGCGAGGUGGAGCAAAACUCAGAAACAACGUCCCAGUUCGGACUGCAGGCUGCAACUCGCCUGCACGAAGUCGGAAUUGCUAGUAAUCGUGGAUCAGCAUGCCACGGUGAAUACGUUCCCGGGCCUUGUACACACCGCCCGUCA